Molecule: ribosomal RNA, 253 nt
Filed under: uncultured soil bacterium
Lineage: Bacteria
Description: partial 16S ribosomal RNA
Rfam family: Bacterial small subunit ribosomal RNA
Source: RNAcentral
AGAUUGAACGCUGGCGGCAGGCCUAACACAUGCAAGUCGAGCGGCAGCACGGGUACUUGUACCUGGUGGCGAGCGGCGGACGGGUGAGUAAUGCCUAGGAAUCUGCCUGGUAGUGGGGGAUAACGCUCGGAAACGGACGCUAAUACCGCAUACGUCCUAAGGGAGAAAGCAGGGGACCUUCGGGCCUUGCGCUAUCGAGAUGAGCCUAGGCGAUUAGCUAGUUGGUAGAGGUAAUGGCUCACCGAAGGCGACG